UACGUAGGGGGCAAGCGUUAUCCGGAUUUACUGGGUGUAAAGGGGGCGUAGACGGCAGCGCAAGUCUGGAGUGAAAUGCCGGGGCUCAACCCCGGAACUGCUUUGGAAACUGUGCAGCUAGAGUGCGGGAGAGGUAAGCGGAAUUCCUAGUGUAGCGGUGAAAUGCGUAGAUAUUAGGAGGAACACCAGUGGCGAAGGCGGCUUACUGGACCGUAACUGACGUUGAGGCUCGAAAGCGUGGGGAGCAAACAGG
RNAcentral lists this ribosomal RNA (253 nucleotides) under uncultured bacterium. Its description in RNAcentral is "partial 16S ribosomal RNA". It matches the Rfam family "Bacterial small subunit ribosomal RNA", at positions 524 to 776 of the family's 1533-position model. The record is from RNAcentral.